Molecule: long non-coding RNA, 833 nt
Organism: Perca fluviatilis (European perch)
Lineage: Eukaryota; Metazoa; Chordata; Actinopteri; Perciformes; Percidae
Exons: 3
Source: RefSeq, a predicted model, not a curated record
AUUACCCAUCACUUGUGGUCACCAUUGUAGGUCCCUGAAAUACCAUUUCGAUAGUGACAGAAAUUCCACAACUAUAGAAGGCAAACAAUUGGCAUGAGGUUUUAUUAACCUUACCAUGGCCACAGAAUUUAUAGUUUAGCUACCUCUUAUUUUACCACUACACCUCUGUCUACCAUUGUGCACAGCAAUACUUUAAAUGUAAUUUUCUUAUUACAAAAUGUGCUCUCAAUCUCACACACACACACUUUCUCUCUUUUUCUCAAUCUUUCUCUCUCUCACUUAUCUUAUUAUUUUUGUUUUGAUGAUAUAUGAUUUAAUUAAUUAUUCUAAAUCUCCCCCUCUCAGAUUGUGCAGGACUUCGAGGUUCUUCAUAAAGAGGCAUCAGACUAAAUCUUUGACCUGGAGGAGGUUCAGCGAGAAGCUUGUUCAUGCGGCCCAGUGGGAGGGGUAGAAGCUCCACGUGCAGACAGAGACAGAGUCUUUGUCUCAAGGCUCCAAAGACUACAUUGCCCUGAUGGUUCUGCCAGGUCUGAUUCCACCUGCAGUCUUCAGGAUGGGCCGAAAGACCGUGAGGACCACAGUGUCUGACGCCAUGAAGGCCUUCAUCGAUCUUAAGCCUGUCGGAGCCAACAUGGUGGAGUACCUUCAGGCAGCAGAGUAGACCAGGCCAUACCCCUGCACCCUGGUGUUGGGAGGCGAGGACUGCUGCUCUCAGGCAUUCACCGUUCCCAGUGGGCCGGCCCUGUAGCACGACAGCGUUGUCCAAGCUGUACAUGUUUGUGUCAAAUGUUUUUAUGUGUUUGAUAUCAAUUUCCCAAAGCAGUGUUUCUCUG